This is a small nucleolar RNA of Tympanuchus pallidicinctus (lesser prairie-chicken), 86 nucleotides long. NCBI's taxonomy places the organism in Eukaryota, Metazoa, Chordata, Aves, Galliformes, Phasianidae. The record is from RefSeq and is a predicted model, not a curated record.
GUGAUGUUUUCCAGCCCCUGCUGUGCAUCUGCAGCUGCGCCGGGGCUGGGGAUGCAUCCCCACUGGAUGUGCUGCCAGCAGCUGGG